This 451-nucleotide ribosomal RNA is filed under the name uncultured bacterium. RNAcentral describes it as "partial 16S ribosomal RNA". It matches the Rfam family "Bacterial small subunit ribosomal RNA", at positions 29 to 523 of the family's 1533-position model. The record is from RNAcentral.
AACGAACGCUGGCGGCAGGCUUAACACAUGCAAGUCGAACAGGUGUAGCAAUACAUCAGUGGCAGACGGGUGAGUAAUACGUGUGAACCUUCCUAGGGGUACGGACGAACUCAGGUAAACGUGAGCUAAUACCGUAUACGUCCGUGAGGAGAAAGAUUUAUUGACAUUAGACGGGCCCGCGUCGGAUUAGCUAGUUGGUGGGGUAACGGCCUACCAAGGCGACGAUCCGUAGCUGAUCUUAGAGGAUGAUCAGCCACACUGGGACUGAGACACGGCCCAGACUCCUACGGGAGGCAGCAGUGGGGAAUCUUGGACAAUGGGCGCAAGUCUGAUCCAGCCAUGCCGCGUGAGUGAAGAAGGUCUUCGGAUUGUAAAGCUCUUUUGCCAGGAACGAUAAUGACGGUACCUGGAGAAUAAGCCCCGGCAAACUUCGUGCCAGCAGCCGCAGUAA